This 1120-nucleotide long non-coding RNA is filed under the name Chrysolophus pictus (golden pheasant). Its description in RNAcentral is "lncRNA (ENSCPIG00010000280.1)". The record is from RNAcentral. Lineage: Eukaryota; Metazoa; Chordata; Aves; Galliformes; Phasianidae.
AUGUGCCAGAGGAAGAAGGGCAAGAAGUCCUCCUACACAAAAUGGGGUCUUUGCAGAGGGGCAUGUUUCACAGGUACUGUCCAGGAUAAGGUAAGUUUUCUUUGUUGUUCAGAACAAGGGGUAGUUAAGCGAAUAAUAACCUUUCUAAUAAAUAGUGCUUGUGCAUACACAAAACAAUUUUCACACCUCUUUUGCUGGGUGAGAGUAAGAAGGAAUAUUUUUCUAUGGGCCAUGAAGCCCUUCAAUACUACUGUUAUGGGUAGCAGAAUGGAGCCUCAGUGGUAUCCAUUGCAGCAUUUCCUUCUUUGGCACCAUCAGGUAUUCAAAAGCUUUGACCUCAGUCCUGACAGCAGAGUAGGCCUCACUGCAUCCAGUGUAAGGACUUUGUCAGCUGGAAAACAAUUUCUGUCACCUCCUGAUUUGUGCUUUGCUGAAACCAGCGCAUGCCACAUAACUGUUACUCCCAUUGCAGGUUUUGUUCACUUUUGUGCAUUUCUUAGACCUUGUGCUGGUCCACCAGGAAACACAUUAUAUCCACUGUCUCAGUACCCCUGCAUGCAUAAAAUAGGGUGGAAAUAAGUAUGUACUUAUUUUCUGGAAUCAUUAGAGACAGGGUUUCAGCUUCAAGAGUCUGUCCGCUAAAAUAUUUUAGCUCAAAGUCUUUGCUUAACAACCCAUAGUGCUCACAGCUGUGAAAUUCUCCCAUUGUCAAGUAUGUCUCUGAGCUUUUCUUAGGAAGAGCAGGCUUGAGGAUUCCAGCUGCUAGGAACAAAAGUGUUUGAAGAUUUAAUUAUUUGCUGUCAGAUUGUGCAUAGACUUGCUUAUUUACUUAGGGCAAAAUAUUAUAAUCAUUAAUCUCCAUUCAGCAGAUACUGUUGUUCUUAACAAAACUCCAGAAAAGCUUCAGCUGUGAGUUAGGCAUUGACAACAUCAAGUUCUGUUCUUAGAUAUCAGCUUCCCAGUUAAGAUAUGCCACAAACGCUGCCGUAAUCAAGACAGCUUUACCCUACGCAGGAACAGUGGCAAGUAUUUCACAACUUACUAUUAUUUAAACUCAGCUAACCUGAAGGAAUAAGAGCAAAGUUUUAAUAAAUAGUUAGCAAGCACAAAACUAUUACCA